CGAAAACCUCAGAGAGAGAGAGAGACAGAAAAAUUUAUGUAAAUAUUUAAAUAUAAAGUUACUUUAAGGAAUAUGUAGCUCAUGUAUCAAAGGCAGCUGGAUUUGCACAGACAUUUCUCGCUCAUCAUUUGAUUGGAAGGCAGCCAAAGUAUAUAAGAUUUAUAACUUUUUUUUAAAUAUAUAUAUUUAUUUUUAAUCAGGCCAUAAAUACAAUUAUAAUUUACCAUAUCAGAUCAUAAAUCAGACAGGUGCUGUGGCAAAUCAGUUAUAAACUUAAGCAAGCACUUGAGCCUAAAGAUUCAAUGUUUAUACGUUGAUACAGAUGAUCAAUCAAAUUGAGAGGUUGGCCAUUUCAUUAAUUAAAGUAUUUAUUUAAUUCAUUAUUUUUAAUUUAAUAAUUUUUGAGCAGUUUUCUUUUUAAUAAUACCUUAGCAGAUUUAGAUUUCUUUUUAAAUAUUUGUGAUAAGUUUUCUACAUUUUAUAUAAAGCAAUAUAUAUUUACUUUAAAACAAAAGAAGCAAAGAGGAAUACAAAGAAUAUUGGAUGAGUGCAAAAAUUAUGCAGUAGAAGCAAAUGGAAAUAAAACUUGCACUUUUGAACUAAAGUGGGGCAACCAAAAAUUAUUUCCAUUAUCGAUUAAUCUGCAUAUUGUCUUUCAAUUAAAUCGAUUAAUUGCUUGGUCUAUAAAAUGCCAGAAAAGAGUAAAAAAUGUUCACCACAGUUUCCCAAGGUGAGCUUUUGUCUGUUUACUAUAAUGUAGAACCAGGAAAAUCAGCUAAUUCCCACAUCGGAGAAGCUUGAACCAUCAAAUAUUUGACAUUCUUGUUUGAAAAAUUACUUAAACGAUUUAUAGACUAUCAAAAUAGCUGGCAUUUAAUUUUCUCUUGCCCGACUAAAUCGCCGCAGCUCUACAAUAAAGUAUUAAAACGACAGCAAACAAAAUACAAUGAUAUCAUAUAUGAAAAUGUAAACUAAUCUGUUUAAAGUAUUGGAUUAAAAACUAGAAUUUAUAAUCUAACUUUAUCGGCUCCCUGAAAUUCCUCCUCCACCGGUUAAAGGUCCUGGGCCUCAACAGUGAGCUACCAUUUUUAUACAGUUACACAUGAUAGAUCCAUCAGACCCCAGACAGAUAAAACAGACGUGGAUGUGAGAGGAAGACGCUGGAAGUUUCUGGACAGGAUGUACCUCUGUCUGGUCGUUCAGCCAGCGAGCUCAGAGGAGAAGAUGGACUGGAGAGACAGACAGACAGAGCGAGAGGGGAGACAGGUUUAUUAUCUGAUGCGUUAUUCAGAUCCAGUCCACUAGAGGUCUGUACAGCCUCUCGGUUCAGCUGUUUCAGCUUCAGCAUUCACUGAUAAGAAUAAACUCCUGACUUUAACCUUA
Molecule: long non-coding RNA, 1383 nt
Organism: Siniperca chuatsi (mandarin fish)
Lineage: Eukaryota; Metazoa; Chordata; Actinopteri; Centrarchiformes; Sinipercidae
Exons: 2
Source: RefSeq, a predicted model, not a curated record